UGGUUCACGGGAGGACACACGC
This 22-nucleotide microRNA is filed under the name Mus musculus (house mouse). Its description in RNAcentral is "mmu-miR-6378". The record is from miRBase by way of RNAcentral. Lineage: Eukaryota; Metazoa; Chordata; Mammalia; Rodentia; Muridae.